Molecule: long non-coding RNA, 206 nt
Filed under: Setaria italica (foxtail millet)
Lineage: Eukaryota; Viridiplantae; Streptophyta; Magnoliopsida; Poales; Poaceae
Description: long non-coding RNA (SITA_LNC000970)
Source: RNAcentral
CGGGGGUGUUUGGCAGGGAGGGGCUAAAUUUUAGCCCCUGUCACAUCGGAUGUUUGGACACUAAUUAGGAGUAUUAAACAUAGUCUAAUUACAAAACUAAUUGCACAACCCCUAGGCUAAAUCGCGAGACGAAUCUAUUAAGCCUAAUUAGUCCAUGAUUUGACAAUGUGGUGCUACAGUAACCAUUCGCUAAUGAUGGAUUAAUU